Molecule: ribosomal RNA, 266 nt
Filed under: uncultured bacterium
Lineage: Bacteria
Description: partial 16S ribosomal RNA
Rfam family: Bacterial small subunit ribosomal RNA
Source: RNAcentral
CUAUCUUAGUGGCGGACGGGUGAGUAACGCGUGGGUAACCUGCCUUGCACUGGGGGAUAACACUUAGAAAUAGGUGCUAAUACCGCAUAACAGUAGGAGACGCAUGUCUUUUACUUGAAAACUCCGGUGGUGUAAGAUGGACCCGCGUCUGAUUAGCUUGUUGGCGGGGUAACGGCCCACCAAGGCAACGAUCAGUAGCCGGCCUGAGAGGGUGAACGGCCACAUUGGGACUGAGACACGGCCCAAACUCCUACGGGAGGCAGCAG